UUUAACGGCCGCGGUAUAUUGACCGUGCAAAGGUAGCAUAAUCAUUAGUCUUUUAAUAGAGGGCUGGAAUGAAGGGUUUAACGAAGUACUUACUGUCUCAUUUAAUUUGAUAUUAAAAUUUACUUUUUCAGUCAAAAAGCUGAAAUACUAUUGGAAGACGAGAAGACCCUAUAGAGCUUUAUAUUUAGUUAUUUAAUAAAUUUUUGAUAUAAUUAUUAUUUAUUAUUUAAUAAAAUAUUUUGUUGGGGUGACAAAAAUAUAUAAUUAACUUUUUUAUUUAUAUAACAUUGAUAUAUGAAAAAUAGAUCCAGUUUUACUGAUUGUUAGAAUAAGUUACCUUAGGGAUAACAGCGUAAUCUUCCUUCAGAGUUCAUAUUCACAGGGAGGCUUGCGACCUCGAUGUUGGAUUAAGAUUAUAAUUAGGUGUAGCCGCUUAAAAAAUAGGUCUGUUCGACCUUUAAAUUCUUACAUGAUCUGA
This 478-nucleotide ribosomal RNA is filed under the name Anotogaster sieboldii. RNAcentral describes it as "partial 16S ribosomal RNA". It matches the Rfam family "Bacterial large subunit ribosomal RNA", at positions 1923 to 2608 of the family's 2925-position model. Lineage: Eukaryota; Metazoa; Arthropoda; Insecta; Odonata; Cordulegastridae. The record is from RNAcentral.